Long non-coding RNA from Leopardus geoffroyi (Geoffroy's cat), 1346 nucleotides. RefSeq lists it as uncharacterized. The record is from RefSeq and is a predicted model, not a curated record. The transcript has 2 exons. Lineage: Eukaryota; Metazoa; Chordata; Mammalia; Carnivora; Felidae.
UUACAUUCUGAGAAGCAAAAGAAAACUUAGGAGGUGUCUAAUUCAAUCUCUUAAUUGUGCCUAUGAGAAAAUCGAGUAAGAAAAACACAACGACCUACCUAACGCUAUCUGAUUACAAACAAGAAUUGAGAUGGAACCCAAAGAAUGUCACUCUCAGCUCAGUCUUCUCUCUACCAUGUGAAGCAAGGUUCCCACACAUUAAUGAACGUCUCCAAAAAGUAGGGACAGAUGGUAUCAUUAUGGAAACUCAAUGGUUAUUGGGUUUCAUUUAUGAAAGUUGCAUCUUUCCUUAUUUCUCUUAUUUUACUGAAGUCCCAAAAUUAAUCCACUUACCAAAUCAAUUUCACAUUUUCAGGGCAUAUAUUUCAACAGCUAUUUAGAGACGAUUCUUUUUACAAAUGGAAAUCUCCAUACCAUGUACAUACCAGGUUUGAAAGUCAUUUUCAGUCAUCCACUGCAAAGUGAGACAGAAAAACUCAUUUCUACUUUGUUAAGAUGGUGUCACCAACAUAAUAAGGGCUCACAAUUCUAGCUUCUCUCUAACACUCAAAUCCAAAAUUGAUUUUCUUUCCCAGUUUCUUCCCUUGAUUAUUCAUUACUUGGCACAAAAGAAACGUUCAACCUUUCUUCUUUCUCCCAAGAACAUCUUUGAGCAGAGAACACAGUGUAUCAUACAAAAUAUCACACUGACUACAAUCUAACUGGAAACCAUGUGGUCCUGAAAUUUGCUGCUGUCCCUUCUUCUCUUUGCUAGCACCAUAUCCAAAAUUUACAAUCUGCUGGAAAAUAUUUAGAGUCCACAAAUUUGCUCCAGAGACACUCUGGUGGCAAGAAACCUCCUUGGAGAUAUAAUUCUAGAAUUCUCACAAAAUUAAACUCAUCUUUGGGAAGCUUGUCAGCAUUCAGGCUGGGAGUAUCUAGGCAACUAUGAGAUGAAACACAAGACUGGUCAUAGGGCAGCCAGAAAAAGAUAAUAAGAAUGUAAGAAUCACUAAAAUAAAUCAGACCCACAAUCCAUUUGCCUGUGCAUCACUCUCCCUGUGGUACCAAUGAGAACAAGAAUUGACUAAAGAUGCCCCUCUACAAUUCCUGAGUAUUGGUAACAUCAGGCAAUCAGCCUUUCCAGAAGACAAGAGGAAAAAGAGAAAACACCUCUGUUUGAAGCAGGAAAAACAAAGAAAAAAAAAGCAUCAUCAUUAGAACAGACUUAGGACAAAACAUAAUUUAAGAUGUUUAACAGUUGAUCUUGUGCUCAUUUGAAUCUGGCGGAUAUUGUCUUGAGCACUGAACUCCUGAAAUCAAGAGAUAAACAAUGGAGAGAACUGAAAUUAAAAGUUAAAUCCUUG